CAGCCGCCGCGUAAUACGUAGGGUGCAAGCGUUAAUCGGAAUUACUGGGCGUAAAGCGUGCGCAGGCGGUUAUAUAAGACAGAUGUGAAAUCCCCGGGCUCAACCUGGGAACUGCAUUUGUGACUGUAUAGCUAGAGUACGGCAGAGGGGGAUGGAAUUCCGCGUGUAGCAGUGAAAUGCGUAGAUAUGCGGAGGAACACCGAUGGCGAAGGCAAUCCCCUGGGCCUGUACUGACGCUCAUGCACGAAAGCGUGGGGAGCAAACAGGAUUAGAUACCCGCGUAGUCCCUGUCUCUUAUACC
RNAcentral lists this ribosomal RNA (301 nucleotides) under uncultured bacterium. RNAcentral's name for it is "partial 16S ribosomal RNA". It matches the Rfam family "Bacterial small subunit ribosomal RNA", at positions 509 to 808 of the family's 1533-position model. The record is from RNAcentral.